RNAcentral lists this long non-coding RNA (3454 nucleotides) under Malus domestica (apple). Its description in RNAcentral is "long non-coding RNA (MDOM_LNC002873)". The record is from RNAcentral. Lineage: Eukaryota; Viridiplantae; Streptophyta; Magnoliopsida; Rosales; Rosaceae.
CCUCGACCUCACCCAGACUGUCACCUUCACUCAGUCACUCUGUCAGUCCUCACUCCUCACCUAAAUCGCAACUUCACUAGUUCACCCACUGUCCAUACCAGUACCACCCAAAUCUCGGUCUCAGUCCGCACUUCUCCUUACUGCACAAGGUAAGAAAUUCCUGCAAUAAACUCAAGGGUUUCUGAAUUAGGGCUUUUGGAAUUAGGAAUUUCUGAAAUUAGGGUUUCUAAAUUAGGGCUUUUGGAAUUAGGAAUUUCUGAAAUUCAGGUUUCUGAAUUAGGGAUUUUGAAUAGGGACUCUGAAUUAGGGCCUUUGGAAUUCGAAAUUUCUGAAAUUCAUGUUUCUGAAUUAGGGAUUUUGAAUAGGGACUCUGAAUUAGGGCUUUUGAGAUUUUGAAUAAGGACUCUGGAUUUUGAAUAGAGAUUUUCUUUAUGUUCUUUAUCAAUUUAAUUUCUUAAUAUACAAGCCUACAAUCAAGACGAUGAUGAAAAUUUCACAAAACUACAACUUUCGAAUAUUCUUGUCUGCUAAUUAAUUGGUAUUUUUUCAGAAAAAUUAUGUUUUUUUUUAUACAGUUUAUGCAUAUUUUAAAAUAGUAUUCUUCAACUAUUCAUUUUGAUGGAAAUUGUGAUUGUAUGCUCUCAUGAUUCUGCACAUGAGGUCUUAAACAGAGGGUUACCCAAAUAAGGCAAAUUUUGGCUAUAUUUGAAUUGUUUUACAAAAAAAUGAUAUUUAUGAAUUUGAAGAGUAAAUUUUGGCUGUAAAUGAUAAAAACUCUUAUAUAUGAAGAUGCUUACUGUUUGGCGUUUGCCAGUGCAAUUGAUAUGGAUAUGGGAAGUUUGCUUACUGGUUGAGUGCAAUUAUAUAUGUGAAAUUGAAAUGGAUAUGGUAUGAAAUUGGUAUGAGUAUGAUUUUAUAGUUUUGUUUUUCUUUCUUGAAGCAAUGGGUGUUGUAGAGCAAGAUUUUAUGAACCUUAGUGAUGGAGGGUCAGUGGAAGUGACAAUGGGAAUACAACCUGAUCAUGGAAGUGAAAAUACAAAAGAUACAAAUACAAGUCCGACAAAGAAAAAGGCUAGAGUGAUCAAAUAAGGUAAGCGAACAUUCAUGUCUCUUGUUUGGAAAACUUUCAACAAAUUGACUACUAUUUUUGAAGAUGGUAAAAGUCGUACUCAAUGUAAAGAUUGUAAGAAACUGGUAAUAGAUGAUAGUCAUCAUGGGAUGGGUAAUAUAAAUAGACAUUUGAAAACAUGCCCUGGACAGACUGGUGGAUUAUUGUCGGUGUCUGAAUUAUGUUCCCAAAACUUUGAUCUUGUGGUAUUCCGUGGCUUAUUGGUAGAGGCCAUCAUCAAGCAUAAUCUUCCUUUUAGUUUUUAUGAAUAUGAGGGAAUUAGGGUUUUGUUUGCAUAUAUAUCUCCUGAUAUUAAGCUACCAUUUAGAAUUACAAUUAAAACCUGUGUGUUGAGGAUGUUCAAAAAUGAAAAACAAAGGCUUCAUAAUUUGUUAGGCUCAGUUGAAGGUAGAAUUUGUUUGACAUCAGACUUAUGGACCUCACAAUGCACUGAUGGGUAUCUUGCUCUUACUGCUCACUUUGUAGACAAAGAUUGGAAAUUGCAUAAGAGAAUUUUAAUUUUUUUGUCACAUGUCUCCUCCUCAUCCUGGUGCUGCAUUAUCUGAGAAAAUUAAUGCAUUGGUGACUAAGUGGGGGAUUGAGAAGAAGUUAUUUUCUAUUACUUUGGAUAAUGCUUCUUCAAAUAUUUCUUUUGUUAGCAUUUUAAAGAAUCAAUUGAAUCUUAGAAGUCUUCUCGUGAUGAAUGGUGACUUCUUUCAUGUGCGUUGUUGUGCUCAUAUCUUGAAUUUGAUAGUUCAAGAUGGACUUAAAGAAAUUGAUUCUUCGGUGAUAAAAAUUCGUGAAUGCAUCAAGUAUAUAAAGGACUUUGAGGCUAGGAAACUAAAGUUUUAUGAAUGUGUUAGCCAAGUAGGGAUAUUGGAUAGUAGGAGAGGUUUGAGACAAGAUGGAACUCAACCUAUAUUAUGCUAGAUAGUGCAAUUUUCUAUCGAUAUGCUUUGAUUCAUUUAGCGUUGAGUGAUUCCAAUUUUACUAGUUGUCUUUCUGAAGAGUGGGAUAAAAUAAUGAAAAUUCCCAAGUUUUUGGGGUACUUUUAUGAGGUUAUGUGCUUAUUCUCUGGGACAAAGUACCCCACAUCAAAUUUGUUCUUCCCUACGGUGUUUGUAAUCCAACUUCAAAUUAAGGCAGCCAUGGAUGACUCUGAAAGUUUCAUGAAAAAGAUGGGGACUUGCAUGUACAUGAAGUUUAAGAAGUAUUGGUCAGAGUACAGUUUGAUUUUGGCAAUUGCAAUCAUCUUAGACCCUCGUUAUAAAUUGCAUUUUGUGGAUUCGGCUUACACAAAACUUCAUGGUGUGAAUUCGGUCGAAUUUACAAAGGUUAAUGACAAAUUGAAUGAUCUUUUUGGUGUGUACUUGGAAAAACUUCUGCAUCUUGAUAAUUCAAAUACUCUAGUGAAUUCAGUGCCUAAUCAUCAAACAGAAUCUAUAGAUGUUCUCUUUGAGGUAAUCUAAUUUUGUUUUUAUUUACUUUAUAUAUUUGUAGAUUGUAGUAUUAGUACUAUAAAAAGUGUUGAUAUUAUAUUUGAAAUUGACAUGAUGCAUGAUUUUUUAUGACGUAGGAUUUUGAUAAUAAUUACGAUGGUUCAAGUUUGAUUCAAAAAAAUGAAUUGCAUAAGUAUUUGGAGGAUAAAAGAAUAGAUAGAAAAGUAGACAUAUAUGUUCUUUCUUGGUGGCAAAUGGAGCGUUUUCAUUAUCCAAUACUUUCUCAGUUAGCACGAGAUGUGUUAACAAUUCACAUUUCAACUGUUGCAUUAGAAUCUGCAUUUAGUAUUGGGGGUAGAGUACUAGAUCAGUAUCGUAUUUCAUUGUUACCAGAAACAGUUCAAGCUUUGUUGUGCACACGAGAUUGGCCGUUUGGAAAAUGAGGUAAUAUAUUUUUAUAUGGUAUAGUACUAUUGUUUUAUUUCUGUUCAUAAUUAUUUUGGUAAACUUCUCAUAAUUGGAAUGAUUUUUAAUGUUUGGUUUUUCUAUACUUAGUUUAUGCGGAAGAGAGUUCUGACGUGGAAAAUCUUACUAAAAACAUCAUCAACAUAACUCAUGAAGGCCAAAGUUCCAAUACAAUUUCCUCAUGAUGAUUGAUGUAAAUUGAGGAUUUUGUAAAAGGAAUAACACGCAAGCUUUGAGUUCCAUUGGCAAGAUUUAAACUUUUGAGAAUGACUUCACAACCUUGAAAACAAAAACUCUUUCAUUUUGCAUAUCCUUGCACAUUUAAUAUUUGUAAUAGAUUAGUAGUGUAUGUAUUAUUUUUUUAUUAGGCUCUUAUUUUCGAGUGUAGAUAUAGUACUUAAACGACAAAUGUAUUUUAAUAUUUUGAAGUAAUAUUUAUGUG